GGUGAAGUUAUUUAUUGGUUCAAGAGGCUUUAUUUAACUCUUUUAAAGGCAUAUAAAUAAUUUCAAGUGUUCCAGUAUGCUUCUAUGAUGCUUUACACCUCCACAUCCAAGUGACAAACUUUAAAAAUGUUUGUAUAUUUUUUGGAAGACAACAGUACGGGGAAGCAUAAAGGCUUUUCAUGGUGAGCACUGACGUUUCUGCCGGCUGCUAUUCUUGGCCGGGCCUGCUAGACCUGUUUCUAGUUCGCAGAAGUCCAUCUACUGAAUCUGCUCAUUUUUGUCAUAACUUGAUGGUGCCACCUUCCCCCUUAGUUGGAGUGGGAUAAUGGAGCGAGUCGCACAGAGGUGUCGAGUGAGUCGGACAAUUCUUUUUUCUUUAUUGAGGCAGUAGAUGUAUGUAUUUGGAUACGUUUUCUUCUGAGAAUUCAUUUCGAGCUGCGUCAUAUUCUUCAAAUAAAUAAGCUGUCUGCAGGCUGCAGACUUUCUGUGGGGAUUUCCAGUUCACAUCCUCGAAUAAGAGACACUAAGUGGAGAAAAUAAUGGAGUUGAUGGUAAAAGAAGAGAUGAGAAAGAAAAGUAAGAGUUUUCUUCUCUGCUUUCACCUGCUGACUCUUCUCCAACUCGCUGCGCCCUCUUCAGCUCAAAACAUCACCACGUCAGCCGCUGACGGUUUCCGCACUCACCCAGCCGACGUCACAGUGGCUGUUGGAGAACCGGCCGUGUUUCGCUGUGGAGUUCCCGAAGCUUCUCCAGACUUCACAUUCACCUUGCGGGGGGCGCACGGAAACUACCUCCUCACGUGCCCCUCGGGCCACGUGGAAGACGUUCCCCAGGCUCUCUAUGGAAGUUGUGAGGUGAGAAAUGGAGAGUCAUCAGCUGUGUGGACCCUAAAGGGAACUUCUUUCUCCGACAACGGGACACAGGUCUCCUGUCAGCAGCCAAAGAAUCCUAAUAGCGCUGCUGCCGUGCUGCACGUCUACGGGAGCGGAGAAACACCGGAGGAUUCGACCACAAUAGUAACAAAGGAGUAAAAGGAGACGGCUCUCUAUGUUGCUCUCUACCUUCGAACCCACAUGGAAAGAAUGGAAGCGUCAAACGUUUUUGGACAAUCUAAGUGAAAAAGAGCUGUAUUUAUGUCUGGAGGUUAUUCUGUUGAGGCCGGGUCCAUCCUGGACAUCUUCACUUUUACCUUUUUUGUCUUGAAUAACCGGGCCUUGCACACGUUAUAUACAUCCUACCAGUAUAUAAUGUAGCAUGCACACAACAGCACAUGUGGCGGUUACUUUAUAAACUUUAUAUACUAUAAAUGUGUGAAAUGUCUUAUGCGAUGUUAUCAAAGUGGGGAGGGAUUUAGUGUUGAAUGAGGCCCAGAAUAGCUGUUUUGUGCUUCCACAUAUGUAUCACAGCUGUGUUCCCAAAAAACGAUUAAAGGUGAAAUACUAGUCGUGUCCUCGCCAGGCUCGUCCAACCAGUUUAGUAAGUUUCUCUUUCACGGUCGCUCCACUUGAAGGAAGCACUCAGUGCCCAGAUUAGUUUGUUGUUUUCACACUACACUGUGACACGUUCACCUUUCUCAUAGAAUGGAUUGAGAAAAUGUGUCCGAACGUUACAUUUUGAAUGGUCCUCGUGCUUUUCUCAUGUUGUCUUUGCCUAAAACGAGGUGUGUGGUCCUUUGCAAUCGUCCAAACCGAAGCUGCAUUAUAUCAAAACAAAAACUAUUUGCAAACAACUGUGGAUUUCUGUAUCCCUCGACCUUCAGAAGCUGGGGGGACUCGCCGCCAGUGACCCCACACUGACGUGGUCGCGGCGUUGGCGUGUCUGUUGCUCCCCCCUGGUGGUGAGCGCGUUCCAUGCUGUCAGGAACAAACGCUCACUGCCACGGACCCUUCGGCCUUCACGUGCAUUCACCAGCUUCAAGAGGCAGCAGUGUGAGCCGGAUCAAGGCUGCUUUUGUCUCAUCUGGUAGCCGUCAUCCAGCUUCAUUAUAGUCAUUUGCGGUGCGCGGGGUUGAUUCACCCAUUCACAAGUUUGCCAACACGGACAGUUUCUAUCUUUCUUAAAGAGCCAUCGUUGGGUUUAGUCUAAGGUAGCCAAAUUGCUUUCGCCAAGUCCCCUUUUAACUUUGCAAUGCCCUCCAACUGGUUUUUAAUGAUCCUGCUAAUUUGUCCAUAUGACAAAAAAAAACAUGAUACACCAAAACGUUCCUCAAUGACAAUGAUAUGCUAUAAAUUAUAAAUAAAUGCAUUGCAUCUUUAAGGAAACACGCAAUAUCUGGGAAAUCAACGCAUUAAAGUGUUUUUUCACUGCUUUUGACGUUUGAUAUUUCAUGACUCUCCCAGUGUUGUUACACCUGAAAGAGCAGAACGGAGAGCUAGCAACACACACACACACACACACACACACACACACACACACACACACACAUGCAGACAGGGCCAUCAGCAGGAGAGAAGUCCAGCCUUUUCUUUUAGUCAAUACAACAGAGGCCGUAUGGAGCAACGUGUUGACUCAGCUGCUCUGCUCGGUUCACUCAUGAUGGGGUCCUGUCAUAUUCUGCUGUCUGAUUUCUUCACUUUCUCCAACACUGAAGAUGAAUUCCCACAGAUGAAGCAACGAGGUGGUCCAUUUAUA
Long non-coding RNA from Gasterosteus aculeatus aculeatus (three-spined stickleback), 2631 nucleotides. NCBI's taxonomy places the organism in Eukaryota, Metazoa, Chordata, Actinopteri, Perciformes, Gasterosteidae. The record is from Ensembl.